AGCUGCCUUCCAUGAAAAGAAACGAGAUUUCCUGAAUGGAGAGCAUUCCAAGGACGCCAGUGGUCUCGGCUUGCCAAGAAGCAAGACGGCACAUGCCGAAGGAUCGUCUGCCAGGCGUCACACUAGAGGUGGUGUGAAGUAACAAAUGCCUGGACUUGGGUGCCAGGUUGAACACUGGACAGUCGCUUCUCCCUUGGACAACUCUGUUUUACAGCUUAGCUCCAUCUGGCUCGCCUUCCUCACUUCGUCCCACAAGUUUGGACUCGUGUGGCAGGUCGGCUGACAGAUUUACAGGUGCUUCUCUUUUUUUAAUGCGUCUGUGUGGGGAAUGGAUGCACACGUGCCACGAGUCAGAAAGAGGUGGUCCGCCUGUGUCAACAGUUUUGAAAGUCC
Long non-coding RNA from Hippocampus zosterae (dwarf seahorse), 393 nucleotides. RefSeq lists it as uncharacterized. The transcript has 3 exons. The record is from RefSeq and is a predicted model, not a curated record. NCBI's taxonomy places the organism in Eukaryota, Metazoa, Chordata, Actinopteri, Syngnathiformes, Syngnathidae.